This is a non-coding RNA of Triticum aestivum (bread wheat), 135 nucleotides long. Lineage: Eukaryota; Viridiplantae; Streptophyta; Magnoliopsida; Poales; Poaceae. The record is from Rfam.
CAUGUACUCCCUCCGUCUCAAAAUUCUUGUCUUAGAUUUGUCUAGGUAUGAAUGUAUCUAACACUAAAACGUAACUAGAUUCAACCGUAUUUAGACAAAUCUAAGACAAGAAUUUUGGGACGGAGGGACUAUAUG